GUCUGGAUAGCUCAGUGAUUUAGAGCAGUUGCCCGAAAAGCAAAAGACUCGGAUUCGACUCCCGAUCCAGCCA
Camponotus floridanus (Florida carpenter ant) is the source of this 73-nucleotide non-coding RNA. Lineage: Eukaryota; Metazoa; Arthropoda; Insecta; Hymenoptera; Formicidae. The record is from Rfam.